Molecule: small RNA, 5203 nt
Filed under: Rattus norvegicus (Norway rat)
Lineage: Eukaryota; Metazoa; Chordata; Mammalia; Rodentia; Muridae
Description: uncharacterized LOC103691188
Source: RNAcentral
CAUAGGAAGGCAGACAGGCAGCCUGGGCACACCCGCAGUUUUGUCCCUGGGCUCCGGGAGGGUGUCAGUUCUGAGAAUCCUCUCAUAAGGCAGUCAUUAAAGGUCACCCUGUCAGAAGAUUCUAGUACUGACACCAGCAGCUGCAGGUAGUAACUUUCUUCAAGGAGGGGUGACUUUCUUAUCCGGGUUUCCAGUAUACUAAAAUUAGUGGGGACAUUUAUCAGUGAGAUCUGGAAGUGGUUACUCACAUUACUGUCCUUGCCCGCCGGGAAACCACCACGUAAACCACAACUGUUAGCACGUAACUCCAUGGUCACUGUGGGUACAAGCCUUGUGCUUCCCUGGUGGCCUGGAUCCUGGGUUCUCUUGCUUUCCUUCAAUAAUCAAGUAUUUUGUUUCUUUUCUCAUGACUGGCUGGACCUCUGUUAGAAAAACGGCGCGUGCUCAGAGUGAGGUAUCCUCUACAGGACCUCCUUGCGGCAGGACUUUAAGGACACUCCACAGCCAUGGUGCCUACGUUGCAGCUGCCUUCUCCACAAGCCUAGGUGUGGUCUGGUUGGCAGAGUAAUAAAACAAUGCCUCUGAGCAUCGAGGAAUUCCCCGAGAGGUGUUCCCUGGAGUCAACCUCAAGGUCUUCCCUCCAACUCGACAGCUAAGCAUCAGCUGUACCCCAGGAACCAAGAAGCCAUGUGAGGAAGUAAGGACUUUGUGGAAGCAAGGCUCUCUGUGAUGUCCUCCACUGCCCUGAAAUGCAAUGGAAUGAUAUAAAGAGAUGGCAGUUGUGAGAUCUUAUGUCGCUGAGAGGAGAACCAAGUGCUUGUUUUCGGCAUGUCCAUCAGCAUAAGGAAUCAUCCAGCCUUCAGCAGCAGCAGCUACAAUAUUUGGGAAGAAAUUAACCAUCCUGAUUCUUGGAUGUGGGUAAGCAUUCCUGGGGCUUCUUAUAAAUGACUGGCACGGGGUUCUAUUGGACAUGCUCUCCUACCUAUAGAGGUUAAUGGAGGAGGGGGGUCUAUCAGUAUUCCAUUACAAAAAGAUGAAUUCUCAGUGAGAACACCUAAUAAUCAUACUAAUAUUCUCUGUAUCCAGCAUGGAGAGACUUUGGUUUGUAUGCGGCCAAAUCUUAAAUAAAUGGCAACGAAGCAGCCAUAUCGAUGGGGAGGCAUCAAGGACUAUUUUGAUCCUUUGGAGCAUCUUACAUCUCACCAGCUGCGCACCCACAAUCCUACUUAAACCUUCAGUCAUACUACCUGGCCCUGGGUAGCUCAUUUAGAUGCGUUCAAGGGAAAUCCCUGUUAUCCCUCAAGACACCACAUGUCCCUCUGGAGAAGGAAUGGAGACAGUGAGGACAAGUUCUCCAUAAUAAAACAAUAAAUAAUAAAAUGGGGAACUUAGCCAUAGCUGCAGAUUUUAAUAGACCCCUCUGUUAUCCAAGGAACAGUGGGGAAAUUGUUCAUCUACACAAAAUCUCAUCCUGAUGGAAAUGUUCUGACUGCAAAGUCAGUGUCAGCUUUGAUUUCCUGCCCCAGCAAAGGCUUGCUCAAAAGGCACACAGUGGGCCUGUGCCGUCAGAGGACUAAGUUGGUCACACUUCAUCUUUGUCUAGUGGUCAACCCAACCCAGUGCACCCUAGCCUUAGGGCUGCUUAGUGUGCUCCAUCUCCUCUCGGAAUCGAGGAGAACUGUGGCAGAAUUGCAGUCCAAGCAGGCCUAAGGGUAAGUGCCCUAAUAUUUUAUCGCUUCCUUCGACUUCAGAGAGGCUCUGGAUUUGUGGGAGGUUGAGGGGUCACUGGCCAGAGGACUAGCAGAACUCGGUCAUUCCAGGUUCGCUUAAAGGAGAGUCAAACUGAAAUAACCUCAAAAAGGUGCCAGCCAGGAGAACCAGUUGCUGUCUCAGAGCUAAUUUUAAGAAUGCCCUUGUCUCUUGACAUUUCAUCGGCAUGACUCAUGGGACUACAGGCCAACAUUCUGAAGCUCUGAAUAAUACAGGGCUCUGGGAGCCAGAACUCAAUGGGAGUUUUUCCUAAAUAAAGCCUAGGAGCCCAGCCUGCUGUGAUACAUGCAUGAGAAUUUUGCUAAUUCAGCAGACUCCACACCCUCGCACCCCUGAUGUUCACACCACUGUCCACAUGUUCUUGGGACUGUGGGACAAGUCUUCUUCUACCCUUGCCUGUUUUCAUUCAAACCUUCAGUUAGUUUCUUGCCAUCAUUUUCUCAUUUUUUAUUUGUCUCUUAUUCUUCAAGGCUAUCAAAUUUGUCUAAGUGAAAUAUGAUCCUACACACCUCAUUCCUUCCCUCCAACUUCUCCUAUAUCCUCCCAAAUAUCUCUUGAAAAUAAUUUCAUGUCUUAGAAAACACAAUGCACUGAGUCCAAUUGGUAUACCCAUAUGAACAUGGGUCAGGGGCACGUUACCCACCAUUCCUGCCACCACAUAGAUAAAAACUCCAAGAUGUCAGCCAAUGUUUAAAGGGCAACAUAGCAAAAUCAAGAGGUGAAAGUAGACAAGAAGUCAGGACCUACUCAUGUAGGUGCUGUCAUUGUUGCAAGUGUCCUAAGGUCAGAAAAAAAAAAGAUGAACUUGGCAUUCAAUGGUUUAAACUUAAGGAGUUGCAUGGGGGCCCAUUCACUUCUGAGUGGAAAGGCCUAUGGAAAGGAAUUUCCAAAGGUGUGUGCCACAGUACACUGGAUGUAUUCUGGAAUCCUGUUAGGAGCUACAGUGGCUGGCUCUAUGCUCCGUUUGCUUGAGGUCUGUGUCUCUGUCAGUGACCUUGUCCUCCCUCUUCGUCUGCCAUGUUUCCCUGUGUCCUAAUUCCUCACAUACUUUCUCUCCAUAUCUCUAUAUUCUACAUCCCUGUACUACCAUUAUUCUUUCUUAUUUUCAUUUGCACAUGAUUCAGUGGUCAUUCCUGUAUUGAAUUGAUCUCACCCACUUUCAGCUCAGCUUCUAAAACUAACUGAUCACAAUUUUUGCAGCUAGAACAACUCUAGGAAAGGAUCAAAUUUGGUUCAGAUAACAUUCCGGAGCCUCUCCACAUAAAUUAAUCUGUUAUCCACCCAUGGUCACAGCCUCUCUGUGGCAGGUGGCCAAGAUUUAUCCAAUCCUCUAUGACCACAGACAUAGGAAGUCUAUCACAUAGCCUGUCUGAAGGGAGGAGACACAGACUCGAGUCUUGACUUAUGAGACUUAGAAUUUGGUCUGUUUCUUACACCUCUGAGCGCUGUGUUCCUUGUCUGUGAAAAGAGAGUGGUGAGAACAGCCUAAUGAGAUUAUUGAAAUGAUGUGGUAAAUAUAUAGCUAGUAAAUUGAUGGCAAAAGCCAAAUGGGUUAUUGCUAUUACCCAUUGGCAUCCUUUCAGGAGAAUCCAAAUGCCAGGCAUCUGUAACUUGUUCUGACCUAUGAGCCUUUGCACUUCCUCUCUGCUGUCUUUCUCCCUUGGGAAGUUUUUUUCUCUCCUUUUGAUAAUUUCUUCCUUGUUAUCAUCACCAUGAACCCAUGUCCAUGCUCCAGGAUUUCACAAUAGGAUGCUUUGGAGUCACUGUUUUCCAUUCAGAAGUGACUUGCAUGCUUUGCUCUGCUGUUAUCAAUUAUGAUAAAGAAGGGGAGGGAAGGGUGUAGCUUACUGUGCUGAAUAGUGCUGUGAUGUGUGCUUGGUAAAAUUGCUCCGGCAAAGGAAGUGGGUGAUGAUGACAUUGCUAGCUUUUAUAGCUUCAAUAUGAAGUUUUCUGGUAUUAUUUGGCAGAAAAAAAAGUCCUGAAAUGUCCCUUAAGAAGCCCAGGACAAGUUGAAAGUCAACUAAAGAAUGCGGAUAUGUAUUUAAUAAAAAGCGAAAAUUGCUCCAGAUGCCAGAAAUUGUUAUAAACAAAUGCUUUGCCAAACACACCCGUCUGUGUGCACUUCGAGGUCUCUGACCGGAGAGCUGAGUGGGUGAGAAGUCUGAGAGUCAGAGUGUACUGAUGGGGGAAGUAUACUGCUGCAGCCUCAGGGUCUGAGAAUAAAGAACUGUAAAAGAGGUAGAAGUCAACAAACAGAGCCCAAGUCCUGACAAAACUGUGGUGAAGGCUAGCCUCCUCCAGGGGAGAGCAGGAAGGUACUCGAUGAAAAAGUCAGCAGUAAAAAUAUGGUCAUUCCAAAACUUCAGCCAAAAUAAUGCCAAACAUAAGACUAGUUUCAGGGGUUUGUGCCCUGUGUAGUUACAUGGGAUCACAGUAUCAGAAGAUUCUAUAAAGGCUCCUAUAAAGGUUUACUAUUGUCACUUUGGAAUUCUUAACCAUUUUUUCAAUAACAAACUCUACAUUUUGAUUUUUCACUGGGCCUUAGAAAUCAUUAUUACCACUAUCGGCUGAUGAGAAUUUAAUCAAGGAAUUCUUAAAGCCAGAAGGAAGAUUGAAGAGAAGAUGGUGAACAGAUUCCUCCUGGUUAUAAAAGAAGAAAAGCAGGGGUAGCCAUCCAGUGACAUUAAAACCAAACUGAAUCAGACAGAGGUCAGUGACCCAUUGCUAACGGGCCAGGACUGGGGCAGUAGCCACCAUGAGGGCUGUGGACUGAAUGGUAUUCAAGGGGAUGUGCUCCACAGAGUAGGGCCCUUUGGAGAGGCGUUCUUGUAACAGGUGUCAAUAACGGAAUCUUCUGGGCCUCAAGGGAAGGGAGUGUUACCUGGGCAUAACCAAACACCACUGGGCAAAGAGCAGUCACAGUGUGGUGAAGAUGGAGAGGCAGUCCUAGAUAGAGCUAAGUAUAGCUUUUAACUCUGCCAUACACAGGGAUUGGGGAUUAAGGAUCCUGACUCUCUGAGCCUUAGCUCCCUUGAUGAACAGGGAAAGAAAUCUAGUCACGAGAUUGAUCUUUGAAUGAGGUAUAGCGUACACAGUUCCUCCUACUUUGCCUGAUGCACGAGAAUACUUAAAUUUCUCUUGUAACUUAAUAUUGACUUAUUGAGAACUAGAUUUUAUACUGAGAACUAGAGUGAAGAAAAGUAUGAACUAGGGGUGUGGAAUAGCCCUCUGCUUGCUAUGAAAGCACAGGGACCUGAGUUUGAACCCUAGAGCCCACAUAUAAAACACCAAACAUUGAGAAACAGCUCAUAAUCCUAGCACUGGAGACAUGGGGCAAAUGGAUUUCUGGGGCUCAUUGGCAAGCCAGACUCCCCUACUUGAAAGCUUCUAGACCAACAAGAGAAUAAAAAAGAUAGCAUCUAAUAAGCAACAC